RNAcentral lists this signal recognition particle RNA (300 nucleotides) under Aotus nancymaae (Ma's night monkey). RNAcentral describes it as "Metazoan signal recognition particle RNA (ENSANAG00000011037.1)". It matches the Rfam family "Metazoan signal recognition particle RNA". Rfam says of the family: The signal recognition particle (SRP) is a universally conserved ribonucleoprotein. The record is from RNAcentral. Lineage: Eukaryota; Metazoa; Chordata; Mammalia; Primates; Aotidae.
GCCGGGCGUGGUGACGCGUGCCUGUAGUCCUAGCUACUCGGGAGGCUGAGGCUGGAGGAUUGCUUGAAUCCAGGAGUUCUGGGCUGUAGUGCGCUAUGCUGAUUGGGUGUCCGCACUAAGUUCGGCAUCAAUAUGGUGACCUCCUGGGAGCGGGGGACCAAUAGGUUGCCUAAGGAGGGGUCAACCUGACCAGGUCGGAAACAAGAGUAGGUCAAAACUCCUGUGCUGAUCAGUAAUGGGAUCACAUCUGUGAAUAGCCACUGCACUCCAGCCUGGGCAACAUAUCGAGACCCCAUCUCU